RNAcentral lists this small RNA (289 nucleotides) under Ochotona princeps (American pika). RNAcentral's name for it is "7SK RNA (ENSOPRG00000021889.1)". It matches the Rfam family "7SK RNA", at positions 1 to 251 of the family's 331-position model. From Rfam's summary of the family: 7SK was discovered as an abundant small nuclear RNA in the mid-70s but a possible function has only recently been suggested. The record is from RNAcentral. Lineage: Eukaryota; Metazoa; Chordata; Mammalia; Lagomorpha; Ochotonidae.
GAAUGUGAGGGCGAUCCGGCUUGCGACAUCGUCACCCCAUUGAUCCCCAAGGUUGAUUUCGCCUGAUCCUGGCUGGCUAGGCGGUUGUCCCCUUCCUCCCUUCACCGCCUCCAUGUGCGUCCCUCCCAAAACUGCGGCGCUCCCUUCGAAAGAGGCCAACCCAUCCCCGCUGACGGAGGACCAGUCUUUGGACAAAGGUAUACGAGUAGUUUGCGCUCCCCUGCUGAAACCUCCAAAUAAGCUCUCAAGUCUGAAAUCAUGUCGCUAUCAUUUGGCUCUGAUUUUUUUU